UAGUUUUAGAUACAUUUUCUAGCAUAUUCAGAAAGUACAGAGAUGCAGGUAGAACUCCAAGUGAUUCCAAUGUGUUGGCUGAGUACCACUGGAUUAGAGGAAGAGAAUGGAACGCAUGGUCCAAGAUCACAUCAGUCAAGGUUAUUGUCAAUCACAGAUCAUAAAUCGUUCAGCUGAAAUCAAACUUGGAAUGAAAAGUGCAGUAUCUCUGGUUUUACCCAAUUCUAAAAAAAUACUAUCUAUUGUCUUUUAAAUCAGAGGCGACCCAUGUAAACAUCUGACCAAGUGCUUCUGAUAUUCUUCUGUUUCACUGACCAUAUUGACUGUACCAAGAGUUGCAGUUCAGUGCCCAUAUCCUAAUGGUCUCCAGGACAAAGGCCACUAACAUGGACUCAACUAUUUACUGACUUAGCAAAUAGUUCACUUGCUCAAUGCUAAAGCAAUGAUUUGCAACCCUGAAUAUCACACAUUCAGUAGGCUGUUUUCAAAAACACCAAUGCCCAGAAUCCAGUCACAGAGAUUCGGAUUUAAUUGGUUGGAGCCUAAGUAUCCAUCCUCCCCUCCCCACCCCACCCCCAAUCCCCAAAGCUCCCUGGAAAAUUUCAAUGUGCAAUCAGGAUUGAUGACCAUUGGCUUAAGAAAUGAAGGAGCCGCUUCUUUGACAAGGAUCUGGCAGAGAAUUUAGAGGAAGUCUGACCAAGUCGGUUGAAAAGAGGCAUACUUUGCUUUCUCUCAGGGCAGGAACAGAAGCAGUCUGAACAAUCCCACCAUCGGAACAAUGCCAAUCACAAUAUUAGCAACGCUGAUGCCGUGAGGACUUAAGAGGAGACCCUGGAGACCCUCUGCCCACUUAGAGGCCUGAUGGAGCUAGAAGAGGAGCUGAGGACAAACUUAGGGCACAGCCCCUGGUGUCCCAAGUCUCCAAAGAAGCGAGAGGACACCCGCUGUGCCAGCUGAAAAUGGAAAUUCAGCAUCUUCCACUAAAUUACCUGUCCGAAGGAACCUUUGCCUAUCAAGGAGUCAAUUUCGUAGCGAUCCAUCCACUUCUCUCCGU
Long non-coding RNA from Balaenoptera musculus (blue whale), 1054 nucleotides. RefSeq lists it as uncharacterized. The record is from RefSeq and is a predicted model, not a curated record. The transcript has 4 exons. Lineage: Eukaryota; Metazoa; Chordata; Mammalia; Artiodactyla; Balaenopteridae.